Molecule: unclassified non-coding RNA, 378 nt
Filed under: plant metagenome
Description: partial contains 5.8S ribosomal RNA, internal transcribed spacer 2, and large subunit ribosomal RNA
Rfam family: 5.8S ribosomal RNA (bases 1-105)
Source: RNAcentral
GAAAUGCGAUAAGUAAUGUGAAUUGCAGAAUUCAGUGAAUCAUCGAAUCUUUGAACGCACCUUGCGCUCCUUGGUAUUCCUUGGAGCAUGCCUGUUUGAGUAUCAUGAAAUCUUCAAAGUAAAUCUUUUGUUAACUCAAUUGGUUUCUACUUUGGUAUUGGAGGUCUUUGCAGCUUCACACCUGCUCCUCUUUGUUCAUUAGCUGGAUCUCAGUGUUAUGCUUGGUUCCACUCGGCGUGAUAAGUUAUCUAUCCUUGAGGACACUGUAAAAGGUGGCCAAGGUAAAUGCAGAUGAACCGCUUCUAAUAGUCCAUUGACUUGGACAAUACUUUUAUGAUCUGAUCUCAAAUCAGGUAGGACUACCCGCUGAACUUAAGC